Non-coding RNA from Dujonia railenensis, 1275 nucleotides. The record is from the annotation of a GenBank genome assembly. Lineage: Eukaryota; Fungi; Ascomycota; Pichiomycetes; Serinales; Debaryomycetaceae.
UGAGAACAUGAUGUUGGUUCAGAUAAAAUGCUAUAUAGGGAUAUGACACAUGCAAAUUAUAUUUAAUAUAGUGUUCAGGUGAGUAAAAUUUAUAUUAAAGAUAAUAUAAAUCAGAUGUAGGUAUUAAAUAGAAUUUAGCCUUAGAACUGUAAUUAAUAAUUAACGUUAAAUUAAUCACAUUGGUAAUAAUUAUCAACAUCUAUAUGAUGCAGCAGUGAAGAAUAUUUGACAAUGAUCUAACGAUUGAUCAAGUUACCUAUGAGAUAUGUUAUUAAAUAAUAAUAAAAAGAAUAACUAAGAAUAUCGGAAUUUAUUAUAAUAAUGAUAUAAUAAAGGAUAGUUCCAGCUAAAAAAUGUGCCAGCAGUUGCGGUUAUACAUUGGGAGCAAGCAUUAAUCAAAAAGGCUUAAAGUAUCCGUAGUACUAUAAAAUAUAUUAUUAGAAUUUAUAAAAAUGUUAUAAGAAUUAUAAGAAUAGAGAUGAAAUGCUAUGAUACUUAUAGGACUGCAAAAAGAUAACAGUAAAUAAAUUGACGUUUUGGGAUGAAAGCUAAAUAAGUGAUAUGGAUUCGAUACCCAUGUAAUCUUAGCUGUAAACUAUGAAUAUUAACUUUUAAUUAUUAAAAUUUUUAAAUAAUUAAAUUAACAAAUGAAAAUUUAGAAUAUUCCGCCUGACGAGUACGCUCGCAAGAGUGAAAUGCAAGACAUUAGACGGUUAUAGUAACCAGCAGUGGAAUAUGUCGUUUAAUUGGAUAAUCCGCCACAAACCUUACCAUCUUUUGAAUAUCUUUAAUAUUAAAUUAAAGAAUACAGGUGUUACAUCAUUGUCGUCAGUUCAUGCCGCAAGGUUUAAUAUUAAGUUAUAAAAUGAACGUAAUCCUUUUAAUAUUAAAUAUUAUUAUUAACAAGUGUUUUAUAAGUAAACAGGAAGAGGAGGAUGAAGACUAAUCCGGAUGACCCUUAUAAGAUGGGCUAUAGACGUAUUACAAUAUUAUUGACAAUAAUUUAGAUAGAAAUAUUUAUUUAAAUUAAAAUUUAAGACUUUAAUAUUAUUUUUUUUUAUGGAUUGUAAACUGUAAUUCGUUUACAUAAAAUAGGAAUUGCUAGUAAUCGUAAACAAUAGUGUUACGGUGAAACUAAUAACUAUUUCGCACUAACCACUCAUCAAUAGCUAGAAAUUUAAAGUAAAAUAGUCUGAUUAACAUUAGACACUUUGAAACAAAUAACCAGCUGUAAGUUGAAAUACGGUUCGGCUAGGGGAACCUGGUCGGGAUUUA